UUGGUGUUUUGUGAGUUAUAUAUGUGUGUCUUUUGCCAUUAAACAGUCAUUUGGCUGCAGAGAAAAGGGUUUUGGGGUUAUGAUUUCUUCUAAGCUGUUUUUAAAUAAAAGUGGAAAACUCCAAAGAAUUAUGGUUCACAUAUAGCCCAUUAUAAACCUUUGGUCAUUUAACAGUUUAGUAUUUUUAUAUAGUCGGUUGUCCGUAAAUUAUUAAGAUUCAGGUGAAAUAAAUGAAAACACCACUUCCAUACAUUUAGUUACACCACCUCUACUUGGACACAUUAAAAAAAAAGCCAUCUUCCCAAUAGUCCUCCAUUUAUGACUUAUAAGUAUUUUAAUUUGUUUUAAAAGUAAAUUCUAAGUUUUGUUCUAUUAGACUGUAAUGUCUUAAAACAUUUGGAAACAUCAGUAUUAUUCACUCAGGCCUGGCAAAAGACCCAAGUUGAAAGUAAUGAUAAUUUCUGUCACCAUUAAAACAUAUGAUAAUUUGGGGAGAAAGGUAGAUAAAAAUUUGUCUCUAUCCGUUGAAUAACUUUUUAAACCAUGGAUUUUAUGAGUAUUAGAAACACAGACAAACUAUAUUUCUGAUAUUUUCCUUAUGAAGUCCCCUUUAGCAGUCCUCUAACAACUGCCUACAUAAACAUACACACUUAUCUACACUGCUUUCAAAAUGAAUGCCCUAAAGAGAAAUGAAAGCAGAAAUAUAUUAAUCUGAUUUGUUUGAAGAGGCUUCGGAUGAUAAAGCAUUUCACAGGUGUUUCUAAUCAAAAUAUUUCUAUUUUAAAAAGUUAGGGUUUCUUUGAACAUAGGCAAGAUUGGGGUUUUGACCUUUAGGAGAGAGCCAAUUCUGGAGAACAACCUAACUUCUUUGAUUGAACAUUCACAUAAUGCAAUGGAACAUGAUAGGAGAUUAAGGUAUACUAAUGAAUUUUUAAAGCAUACGAUUUUAUAUCUUUGCAAUAUAAUUGAACUAGACAUUUGGUAAAGUUAGAACUUUUAGGUGAGCUAAAUUCAAUAAAGAUUUAUUGAUUAACAGAAGUUAUUCAGUGAAGUGGCCAAGGUUGAGCUUUUCUUGCUUUAUUAAAGCUUCAGAUUUUUUUAUGCAGUUGAUGUUCUUAUCCUGUAUGGGUCCAGCUCCAAAUGAGUUUAUUUAUUCUAAGAAUAAAUAUAUGUUAUGAGUUUUUUCUUAAGUUUGUUACUACAGUGUUAUAUGUUAAAUAAUUAAGUAGUAGAUUUUUCAUGUUAUAAAAUAGAUGGUUUAAAUCAAGUGAAAUUUGGUGCUUCAUUCUUUGAUAGAUAUAGUGGUAGAUAGAGCCUACGAAAUUUGAUAAGAUUAGUGAGAAUAUUUUAAGAGAACUUGAAAUAUUCCAAGUACUAUCCUAACCAAAACAGCAAUUUGGUUGAAACUGAAAAACGCACUUUCUAAAGCAGAAACCAGUAUCUUACUCAUAGGUACUCUGAGUAAAAUAUUUAAAUUGUUCAUAUCAAAAGUUGUAAACUCUUUAAAAAUAAACUGUAGAAUUCCAAAACUUCUAAUGACUUGUCUUUACCUCCAGAAUACUUCAUCACAGAAUCACUUUUCCAGCAUAUUUACUUUAAAAUAAAGUUUAUUUUAUAAUUUUAGUUGAAAAUUUCAGAUACUUAGCUAAUAAAAAUUUCAGCUGCUUUCUAAAUUGUAAUCUGGUGUAAUGAAAACUCAUUUAACAGUAUUACUAAGUAUUACUUGAUUAAUUUUUGAAUAGUAAAGUAUUAAUUACAUGAUAAAGUAUUAACUAAAUGUGUUUUUUAAAACUAUUUGCUAAAUAAAGUGAAUUUGACUAAAAUAUACUAUAAUUUUUUCUUUACAUUUUUUUACUAGCAUUUAUUUUAUAUACUUAAGAUAUAGGAAAUCACAAAGGUUUGUUUUCAUAAGAAAAGUGUAAUUUAGUCUUAAGAGUCAAGUGUAUUUAUCACUUUGGUCAUAGAAUUGCUUUUAUCUUUAAAUAGUGUUAAAGGAUUUUUUUUCCAGCAAAUUCUUAGAUGUGUGUUUAAGAAUGUUUGAACAUUGAGAUAUAUAUCAAAAUACUUAAAAAUCAGAUAUUUCUGUUAUUAGCUAUUAGAUAAUCUAGGAAUGUAAAUCUGUUAACAGUUAAGUAAAAUGUUAAAAUUUAAUAGAAAUCAGUUUUAUAUAAGUGAAGUUCAGAUAUUAGUGUCAUGAUACUGUAAGGCAGUUGUUUGAUACAAGCUAUAAAAAGUUUUCAUAACUUUGAUUUAAGAAUGUUACAGAAAGCAGCUUAGUUUGAAUAGGAUGAGAACAGAUACAAUUUUUUCUCUGUAAGUGAUAUUUUUCAGGUUAAAGAACAUUAAGGUGAAAAGUAAAAAAUAUGGUUUCUCAGUAUCUGGAAAAAAAAAAUCUAGGUUCAUUUUGUCACUUUCAGUCCAGAUAUCUUUAGACACAGCCUUAAUGAGUCAAAGGAGGGAAGAGAUACAGCUUUUGAAUUUAUGUUAUAGAAAAAGACUUAAGUCCACAGAGUUGUUCCUCAUUAAGAGAGUUUAUGAUUUGUGAUCUCUGAAGUUGUCGAAAUGUUGUUUGGACACAAAUAUUUAGCAUCAUAAAAUUGUCCCUUAUAUAGCUUAUAAACUUCCAAAUUUUUAGUGAAUAAUUUAACACCUAAAAUAAUUGAUGCCGAUAUUAACAGUUUUCUUCUAUUGGUCAGCUCUUACAGAGUGAAAAACUUUAACCUAAUUAGUAGUGUAUGUUAUUUUAGAAGACAGGUUAAUAAGGGCUUUUACUGCUAUUAUGUGAUUGACUGUUCCUUAACUUACCCCAUAAAGGACAUUUUGUAAGGAUUUUGGCUGUUUUAAAUUUACAAACCUGUUUAUCUGUGUCUAACUAAGUUUUAAUAUGUAGUUCAUUAUGACAGGAUUUGGGGGAAAGCACUUACUGUGUUAUAUUUUUUUCAGUGCUAGAUUUUUAUCUUAUUUGUAUAAUAUUUAUAUUUUUGGUUAAAUGCAUUUUCAGGGUUAAAUAGCAUUCAUUUUCAGGAAAAUUCUCUGUUGUUUCCCAAAUACAGUUAUGCUGUCUGUGUUCUAGUUUUACUGAAAUAGUUAUCCUUAGGGGGAAAGAAUAUUUGGAUAAACUAGAAUAGAGGUAAUUUAACACAUCUACGUAUGAAGGGACUUGAAAUUAUUCAUUGUCACUGAUGAAUAAUGCUAGUUUAUAAAGACAACUUAUAUUUUAAACAGUUUAUCAGCUAUAAGAGUUUUCUUUAUUAGAGGUUUUAUAGUGUUGCUGAGGAUUCAUUGAAGAGUAGAUAGAUACAGUUUCUUAAUGAAGAAGCUUUAAAUGUUUGAAGCAGUUUUGUACAUGUACUUUAUGGGUUUUUUUGAUUAGUGAAUAGAUCAUUAAUCUUUUUCAGUUUCUUCAAAUAAGACCUAACACAUCAGACUUAAAUUUUCUGAUAAGGAUUUUCAAAGGGCAAUAUUUAAUUAAUGUGAAGAUUCAAUUUUUCAUUUAAUGUCAUUUUGAAGUAAAAUAUCAGUUCUCAGCACCACAAACCCCCACUUUUGUUAUUUCAUUAACAUAUAUGAUUUGGCUUAGUUUUACUUUCCUAUUUUCAUGGUUUGAGUCACUUGGAAGAGAAACAUGUAGCAUGUUUCAGAUGUAGUUGCUGAGGCUCAUCCUCUGGUUAAUAGUUUGUUACUGUUUCUAAGUUUCUUAAUUUUUUUUAAAUCCUUUUUUGAUUUUGCUCUUACUCUUUUAUUGUAUAACUUUCAUAGUAAACAAAUAUAUUUAGUAAUAUUGUUAUCCUGUGUUCUUCAGAAUUGUCUUUUUAAUUUUUAUUAUAACAUUGUUGGUUCAUUAUUGAGCUAUUGCUGAGUAGAAAACGGUUUUUCAAUUUUGAUAAAAAUUAAAGAUUGGGGGUUUUUAGCAAAAUAUCUGAAUUUUAUUUAUUUAAUAUUAUUGUAUUUUAUACUUUUAUUUAAUUUCAAACCUAACCUUCUUGACUAGCUGUUAUUUAAACUUAGCCACCAGUUCUAGCAUUUAAAAAAGUAAUUUACAGAUGUCCUAAUUUUUCUGACUUAUAAAUUAUUUUUCAGAAUCAAAAAUUGCUUAAGGUGUUUAAGAAUAUCUUUUAAAUUUAAAGUUAUAAGUCCAUAGAUGAAAUUACCUUUAAGUUUAAAGAUAAUUUGAUGAACAAAUACUUACAUUUCUGUUAGUGGUCAAUUGAUAUUAGGUACUUACUAAGUUUUUAGCUUUGUGUUACACAUUCAAAGUAGGUAAAUUACUUGUGGAAAUUUUUUUUAAUAAUUGAAAUUUUUGUAAAAGCUUUAUGGGCUAAAAUCGUAUUUAUUUGCUAAUAAUGUCUGAUGUCAAACUUGUGAUGUGAUUAGAUAUGUUGAAGCUGGGAGACUGGAGCUUUUUAUAAGCAUAAUAUAGUUUUGUUGCUUGAUUAAAGUUUAGAUACCUAGAUAUUUUCCAGUAUAGCUAGGGAACAUACUUUUUAUGAAUUCACCCUAAACCUGGUUAAAAUUCUUCUGAGAAUUUUGAUAAUUGAACAGUUAAAUCUAAACUAGGAGCUGAAGUGUGUCAUUACAUGUGUCAUUAAUUAUUUAACUUAGAUACAUUAUAGGUUCCCUUUCUAAUCAAAACACCAAUUUUGUCUUUUCUUCUCUCUCCACCUCACUUUUUAAAGAAAAAAAUCCUUAAAUAAUUUUAUCAUGUAGUGAUACAAGCAGAACUUCUGGGUAGGGAGGUUGAACUCAACCACUUUUUUCCUUUGUGUGUUAGUUGCAUGUGAUUUUCUCAGCUUGCUGCUUCAGUAGCAGCAACAGUGAAUAAACAAGUAUCAUCAGAGCCCUUGUUCUUGCUUCUUACUUUUGGGAACAGGGGUUGGGAGAUUGCUGCUGCUUGUCAGCUGUUGUUCAAAAUAGCAUCAAUAUGCUGUAGUGGUGGCCAAAGCAGCCUGCACCCACUAGCUUUUAUAGACCAGGUGGAAAUGGCCCAACUGUCAGUGUAAUACAUAUAUAGUAUAAUGAAUACGUUCUUUGACAAAAAGGUAUUUUCGUCCCAAAGCAGCUAAAAGAGAACAGUAGAUACUUUUAAUUCUUAGUUUCUUAUUAUUUUUUACUAUUUACUGUGUGGUUUUUAGUUCAUUUAAUUUUUAUAUAGUUAAUUCCAUGUUUGAAUGGAAAACUAUCUUGCUUCCAAAAGUAUAUAUAUGUUUCAUGCUUUUUACUUUUAAGCUGGUAGGCUGAAAUAAAUUAUUCAAUAAUUAGUGCUGAUAACACAAGUUAGAUAAUACAUUGGUAAUGGCAUUAGGGAAAGAAAAGCUGACUGUGGCCACAUAGGCGUGUUUCUUUCACUUUGGGAUCAUAUUCUAAAUUCGUGUUAUCUUUAUUUUAUAGCUCAGUUUAAAAGGCCAAAUUUUUAAUUGAUUUAACUGUAACUAAAAAGAACAAAAAUCUAUUACUACCUGAUGUUGUAUAUAAUUAAAGACAAAGCAGGCUGUAGAUGGAAAUUCAUAAAUCUUUUUCUCACUAUUAAAAUAAUGUCUUCUAUCUGAACUUUAUAUCUGGGAAGUUCAGGUUAUUCUAAAUCUUUUGAAAUAGGACUGUAAUUUACAAUAGCAUGGAGUGUUUUGAUUUUUAAGAAUUUGAAUCUGUAUAGAUUUACAUAACCUAAAUAUCUGUGUAUUUUUCUCCUCUUUUGUAUCUAAAUUCCAAUAGGUUGUAGUUAGGGGGAAGUGAAUAUUGGAUUUCUGUUAAAGUUGUGAUUUCAUUUUUAGAAUUUUUGGUGGAAAACCGCAAAUGACAUUUCUAGUGUGUAAUCCUAAUGCCCCAAUUUAGAGUUCAACAUUUGCAAUAGUAUUCUUUUAAACAGAGGUAACAAUGGGGUGUUUUUUGGUUUGUUUUGGGAUUUUUCCUAAUACUAGAGUAUUAACAUCUUUAAUAUGUUGAUAUAAUUUAACAGAUACCAUUAAUUACUGAUACCUACUCUUAAUCAAAACAGUGAGUUACAUAAUGCUUUAUAUUGAAAACACCUUAUUUUUACUACUAAUUACUGUGUAAAGCACCUGUGGAUCACCUGUACCAGAAUAACCUAGAAUAAAGCAUUUUUCCAGACCUGAUGAAUCAGAAUCUCUGGGGAUGGACUUAAGUAUUUAUGUUUAUAACAAGUGAGUUUUUCCUAGAAACCCCACAUGUGAGAACACUGCCCAAAAUGAAUUGGGAAAGGAUUCUCCACACCAAUAAACCAUCUACAUUUUCUGCCUUUUUUUCCCUCUUUGGUCAUCAUGGGUCUAAUCUCAGUAACUAAUUAUGAAUUUUAUCACUUCUAACAGUAAUUCUAGGAUAAGUCUUGGUAGUUCUUCAGUCAUAUAAGGAAAAUCUAUAUUAUGAGAGCUUUAUUUUAUGCAAAAGUGCCUUGGACCAAAUUUUAAGUCUAUUUGUUUAGAACAGUUAAUAUACUAUUAAACCUAUACUUGAAGCAAACAGAAGGAAUUGAUCACUUAAGAAUUUUUUAAAUUUUCGUUUAGAUGGUAGCUGUUUUUCUUAAGUAUACUUCCAAAUACAUAUUGGAGAAAAUACAGAAAGGAGAGUUUUUCAUAUGCUGCUUAUAGGAGCAUUUGGCAAUAUCCUAAAGUGGAAGAUAUACAUAGGCUCUAACCCAGCAAUCCUAUUCCUAGAUGUUCUAGAUAAACUCAGACAUUCGUGAAAAAGUCUUAUUUAUUUUUACUUCUAAUAGGAAAAAAUUAAAAGUAAUGUAAAUAUUAGGCAGUGAGAGAAUGUAAAAUUGUGACUUAGUCAUGUGAUAAAAAUGUUAUACAGUUGUAAAGUGAGAU
This 6824-nucleotide long non-coding RNA is filed under the name Sus scrofa (pig). RNAcentral's name for it is "lncRNA (ENSSSCG00000051290.2)". The record is from RNAcentral. Lineage: Eukaryota; Metazoa; Chordata; Mammalia; Artiodactyla; Suidae.